AAAUAUUCUUUGUGCUUAUUAUGUGUUUGCAGAGGAAGUCUUUAUCUUACAUUAACAAGAAGAUCUCGGAGCAAAACAUCUACUUCAAAGAUCUCUUGGAAGAUGCACUAAAGUUGUUUCACACCAUCAAUCAUUCUUCAUGAGCUAAAGUCACCUUUGAAAAGGUUAUCUGUCUUGUAUGGUCUCAUGCUUUUGUCCAUUUUGGAAAAAGUUCUCUAACCAAAGCAUAAGCCUUGUCAGCUUUUGAGAUGUUGUUUGAAAAGGAGAAUCACAUUUAAAGAUGCACAUCUUGCAUUUAAUGCUUCCAACCUUGAAUGCGAGGUAGACACAAAAUGAAGAAGACUUUUUUAUCGCCUACAACGACUACAAAAGAUGUGCAAUGAUUGUUCUUGUCUCAAACUCCAUAUAUAGAAGAUCUCUUUAAAGAACGAAGGUUGACGAUGGCGAAAGUCUUGUUACAAGAAUAUGCACAAGAUCUUAAGCUUUUAAGCCUUAUAGUUAUGAGAAAGAACAUUGUUUAUGUUCAAGAACAACCUAAAAUAGUGAAACAAUCUUGUAUUUGUCAUAAGACGUAACCUCUCUUUUAGUGAGUGAACUUGUGAUCUUUUAGAUCACAUUCUUUGUAAACUCAACGUCUUAGCUAAGAGUGGUUGUGUUUUAAAUAAUACUUGAUCUUAGCCACGAGUGGUUGCAUUCCAAAUAAUAUUCGAUCUUAGGCAAUAGUGGUUACAUUUUGAAUAAUACUCAAUCUUAG
RNAcentral lists this long non-coding RNA (754 nucleotides) under Phaseolus vulgaris (common bean). Its description in RNAcentral is "long non-coding RNA (PVUL_LNC000801)". The record is from RNAcentral. Lineage: Eukaryota; Viridiplantae; Streptophyta; Magnoliopsida; Fabales; Fabaceae.